AUGGAUUCUACCAGGGAAGCCGAAAGGCUCUCUGCUCUUCAGCCACCAUGCAAGACAAUUUCAGCCAUAGAACCUAUGGACACUGCCCUUUGGGCAAAGGACACAGAGGGAGCUGUCAUGCAUAAAGUUAUCAGCACUCAAGAUGAAAAACGGAAGCCCUUCCUCGAGGCAGUCCACCUGCCUGGCAAACAGUUGUUUUUUUAAGUAGGUUACUCUAAGUACCUGCCACCUGGCCCACAAUUUCCAAUACAAAGUGCAUUCCUCUGGCUGGAACAGCAAAGAAAGGCAAGGAAAACAAGUAUGACGAGAGGCUUCAGGUGCGUGUGGGCAGUGGGUAGGGGGUUGGAGAAGGCAAGCAAAGAGAUUUUAAACCUUAGUGGAUACCUUUACGGAUGACUUCAGCAUUUGAAAAUUAUAUAAACCCAGGGUGGGUGGGUUUUUGUUUGGGUGGUGGUUUUUUCUUCCUCAGAUGGUCUCAGGAGACAAAGACAUGGAGCAAAGGCAGAAAUUUGUCUGGACUGGGAUGUGAAUUGAAAAAAAAAUAAUAAUAACCCCGACUUCAUAUUUUGCUUUGAUGCUACAAUGCUGAAAUUUUACGCUUACCACCGUUGCCCGAGAACCUUUUCUGCCGUCCAUAGGUGCUAGGCCUCGGUAUGCAAAAUAAGGAACCCUUUCAACCUCAAAAUCCUUUCUGGGGCUCUUCCCUCCCCCUUUUCAGUUUUCCAGUUAGCAGUGGUGGGAGAGAGGCAAGGACAACCCUAGACACUUAAUUAGGUGAAUAAACCUGCUUAAUUAAUAGAAAGCUUGCCUCA
RNAcentral lists this long non-coding RNA (812 nucleotides) under Sus scrofa (pig). Its description in RNAcentral is "lncRNA (ENSSSCG00040050608.1)". Lineage: Eukaryota; Metazoa; Chordata; Mammalia; Artiodactyla; Suidae. The record is from RNAcentral.